CCUACGGGUGGCAGCAGUGAGGAAUAUUGGUCAAUGGACGAAAGUCUGAACCAGCCAUGCCGCGUGCAGGAUGACGGCCCUAUGAGUUGUAAACUGCUUUUGUACGAGGGUAAACCUCGAUACGUGUGUUCCGCUGAAAGUACCGUACGAAUAAGGCUCGGCUAACUCCGUGCCAGCAGCCGCGGUAAUCCGGAGGGUCCAGGCGUUAUCCGGAUUUAUUGGGUUUAAAGGGUGCGUAGGCGGAUUGAUAAGUUAGCGGUGAAAUGGCCGGUCUCAACCCGGGCACUGCCUCUAAUACUGUUGUGCUAGAGAGUGGGUGAGGUAGGCGGAAUGUGUGGUGUAGCGGUGAAAUGCUUAGAGAUCAUACAGAACACCGAUUGCGAAGGCAGCAUACCAAGGUAUAACUGACGCUGAGGCACGAAAGCGUGGGGAGCGAACAGGAUUAGAUACCCGAGUAGUC
Molecule: ribosomal RNA, 460 nt
Filed under: uncultured bacterium
Lineage: Bacteria
Description: partial 16S ribosomal RNA
Rfam family: Bacterial small subunit ribosomal RNA
Source: RNAcentral